AAACGGUUAUAUACUACUAUAAUAUAUAUUUUUUUUCAUUUUUUAUCAUUAUCAAAGGCUAUAAGCACUGGUCAAUUAUUGUACGAAAAUAUUAUACAUUUUUAAUUUUAAAAUAAUACAUAUUACCACGAUCAUUUAUUGUACAAUUUCUAGGCAUCACAAACUACGAGGAUCUUGCGAAAUAUUUGCAGCGUAUUAUUUGCACUGAAAUGUCUAAAGUAAAAAAAAAAAGCGUCAAUUACACCAUUGGACAACAAGUUAAAAAAAUAUUAGAAGUCGUCCAGCAGUCAGGAGAUGCACCGAGUAAACAAAGAGCUUGGAAUAUUAUCGACUGAAAUAUUUCAAAUGGUUUCGGCUGGAUCUACCAAAUAUGAAGAUGACAUUUUUAAAAUCAUGGAGAAAAUUAUUAAAAAAGAAGGGCAACUAAAAUAUAGCGGUUGUGGACGCAAAAUAAAAGGCGUAGGAAAAGAAAGUUUUAGCGAUACUGAAACUUUCAAAAUUAUGGAACAAUUUUUAUUGGCAAAAUAUCAAUCAUCUAAGGAAAAAAUAGGAGUGAUAACUGUAAUAAGUGCAUUUAAAGGACAUUAACAAGUAAAGGACAGAGAGGGUGGACGCGCUCAACGCAACAAAGGAAACGAAUAUAUAAAUAUUAAUAAUUAUA
This 661-nucleotide unclassified non-coding RNA is filed under the name Melitaea cinxia (Glanville fritillary). RNAcentral's name for it is "misc RNA ENSMCXG00005015292.1". The record is from RNAcentral. Lineage: Eukaryota; Metazoa; Arthropoda; Insecta; Lepidoptera; Nymphalidae.